This 495-nucleotide ribosomal RNA is filed under the name uncultured bacterium. RNAcentral describes it as "bacterial SSU rRNA". It matches the Rfam family "Bacterial small subunit ribosomal RNA", at positions 29 to 490 of the family's 1533-position model. The record is from RNAcentral.
AACGAACGCUGGAGGCGUGGCUAAGACAUGCAAGUCGAACGGUGCGUUGUAGCAAUAUGGCGCAUAGUGGCGGACGGGUGAGUAAUAAAUAGCUAACGUACCUCGGUCUCGGGGAUACCGCCGGGCCGCAAGGCCCUUUGCGAAAGUGGUGUUAAUACCCGAUGACGUUCAUGAAAGGCAUCUUUUGUGAAUCAAUGGUGGGGACCGCAAGGCCUACCGGACUGAGAGCGGGCUAUCCUAUCAGCUAGUUGGUGAGGUAACGGCCCACCAAGGCUUUGACGGGUAGCCGGACUGAGAGGUUGUACGGCCACAUCGGGACUGAGACACUGCCCGGACAUCUACGGAUGGCUGCAGUAACGAAUAUUCCGCAAUGGGCGCAAGCCUGACGGAGCGACGCCUCGUGGAGGACGAAUUCCUUCGGGAUGUAAACUCCUUUUAGGUUUAAGUAAAGCGAGUGCAGUUAAUAGCUGCGCAAGUUGAUCUAGACCAAGAAAA